Molecule: ribosomal RNA, 494 nt
Filed under: uncultured bacterium
Lineage: Bacteria
Description: partial 16S ribosomal RNA
Rfam family: Bacterial small subunit ribosomal RNA
Source: RNAcentral
AUUGAACGCUGGCGGCAUGCUUUACACAUGCAAGUCGAACGGCAGCGGGGAGGAGCUUGCUUCUCUGCCGGCGAGUGGCGAACGGGUGAGUAAUACAUCGGAACGUGUCGAGAAGAGGGGGAUAACCACCCGAAAGGGUGGCUAAUACCGCAUAAAUUCUGAGGAAGAAAGCUGGGGACCUAGGAAUAGGCCUAGCGCUUUUUGAGCGGCCGAUGUCGGAUUAGCUAGUUGGUGAGGUAAAGGCUCACCAAGGCGAAGAUCUGUAGCGGGUCUGAGAGGAUGAUCCGCCACACUGGAACUGAGACACGGCCCAGACUCCUACGGGAGGCAGCAGUGGGGAAUUUUGGACAAUGGGGGCAACCCUGAUCCAGCCAUGCCGCGUGUAUGAAGAAGGCCUUAGGGUUGUAAAGUACUUUUGUUAGGGAAGAAAAGUCAGCUGUGAAUAAUGGCUGAUACUGACGGUACCUAAAGAAUAAGCACCGGCUAACUACGUG